RNAcentral lists this ribosomal RNA (1242 nucleotides) under metagenome. RNAcentral describes it as "bacterial LSU rRNA". It matches the Rfam family "Bacterial large subunit ribosomal RNA", at positions 1564 to 2815 of the family's 2925-position model. The record is from RNAcentral.
UGAAUACGAGACGCUACGGCGUCGAAGCAGUCUAUGUCAUACUUCCAAGAAAAGCUCGCAAUGUCAUAAACAAAUAAUGCCUGUACCAUAACCGACACAGGUGGGUAGGUAGAGUAUACUAAGGGGCGCGAGAUAACUCUCUCUAAGGAACUCGGCAAAAUGACUCCGUAACUUCGGGAGAAGGAGUGCCUUAUUUAUAAGGUUGCAAUAACAAGAUCCAAGCAACUGUUUAUCAAAAACACAGGUCUCCGCUAAGUCGUAAGACGAUGUAUGGGGGCUGACGCCUGCCCAGUGCCAGAAGGUUAAAGAAGUUGGUUAGCAUUCGCGAAGCUGAUAACUGAAGCCCUGGUGAACGGCGGCCGUAACAAUAACGGUCCUAAGGUAGCGAAAUUCCUUGUCGGGUAAGUUCCGACCCGCACGAAAGGCGUAAUGAUUUGGAUACUGUCUCGGAGAGGGGCUCGGUGAAAUAGACUUGUCUGUGAAGAUGCGGACUACCUGCACCUGGACAGAAAGACCCUAUGAAGCUUUACUGUAACUUGAAAUUGAAAUUGGACUUUAUUUGCGCAGCAUAGGUGGGAGGCGUUGAGAGUAUUCUUGCGGGAAUAUUGGAGCCAUCAGUGAGAUACCACUCUUGUAAUGUUAGAUUUCUAACUUUGGAUCAUUAUCUGGUCAAAGAACAGUUUCAGGCGGGCAGUUUGACUGGGGCGGUCGCCUCCCAAAUGGUAACGGAGGCGUACAAAGGUUUCCUCUGAACGGGUAGAAAUCGUAUCUAGAGUGUAAAGGCAUAAGGAAGCUUGACUGUGAGACCUACAAGUCGAGCAGGGACGAAAGUCGGUCUUAGUGAUCUGACGGUGCUGAGUGGAAAGGCCGUCACUCAACGGAUAAAAGUUACUCUAAGGAUAACAGGCUGAUCUCCCCCAAGAGUUCACAUCGACGGGGAGGUUUGGCACCUCGAUGUCGGCUCAUCGCGUCCUGGGGCGGUAGUACGUCCCAAGGGUUGGGCUGUUCGCCCAUGAAAGCGGUACGCGAGCUGGGUUCAGAACGUCGUGAGACAGUUCGGUCCAUAUCCGGUGUAGGCGUUAGAAUAUUGAGAGGAGCCUUCUUUAGUACGAGAGGACCGAGAAGGACAUACCUCUGGUGUACCAGUUAUCGUGCCAACGGUAAACGCUGGGUAGCUAUGUAUGGAGAGGAUAACCGCUGAAAGCAUCUAAGUGGGAAGCCCACCUCAAGAUAAGUAUUCUC